Molecule: ribosomal RNA, 265 nt
Filed under: uncultured bacterium
Lineage: Bacteria
Description: partial 16S ribosomal RNA
Rfam family: Bacterial small subunit ribosomal RNA
Source: RNAcentral
GUCCACGCCGUAAACGAUGGACACUAGGCGUCGGGGGGAGCGACCCCCUCGGUGCCGUCGCUAACGCAGUAAGUGUCCCGCCUGGGGAGUACGGCCGCAAGGCUGAAACUCAAAGGAAUUGACGGGGGCCCGCACAAGCGGUGGAGCAUGUGGUUUAAUUCGAAGCAACGCGAAGAACCUUACCUGGGCUUGACAUGCUGGUGUAAGCCGGUGGAAACAUCGGCCCCUCUUCGGAGCGCCAGCACAGGUGCUGCAUGGCUGUCGU